GACGAACGCUGGCGGCGUGCCUAAUACAUGCAAGUUGAGCGAUGAAGAUUGGUGCUUGCACCAAUUUGAAGAGCAGCGAACGGGUGAGUAACGCGUGGGGAAUCUGCCUUUGAGCGGGGGACAACAUUUGGAAACGAAUGCUAUUACCGCAUAAUAACUUUAAACAUAAGUUUUAAGUUUGAAAGAUGCAAUUGCAUCACUCAAAGAUGAUCCCGCGUUGUAUUAGCUAGUUGGUGAGGUAAAGGCUCACCAAGGCGAUGAUACAUAGCCGACCUGAGAGGGUGAUCGGCCACAUUGGGACUGAGACACGGCCCAAACUCCUACCGGAGGCAGCAGUAGGGAAUCUUCGGCAAUGGACGAAAGUCUGACCGAGCAACGCCGCGUGAGUGAAGAAGGUUUUCGGAUCGUAAAACUCUGUUGGUAGAGAAGAACGUUGGUGAGAGUGGAAAGCUCAUCAAGUGACGGUAACUACCCAGAAAGGGACGGCUAACUACGUG
Molecule: ribosomal RNA, 497 nt
Filed under: uncultured bacterium
Lineage: Bacteria
Description: partial 16S ribosomal RNA
Rfam family: Bacterial small subunit ribosomal RNA
Source: RNAcentral